Molecule: non-coding RNA, 21 nt
Filed under: Caenorhabditis elegans
Lineage: Eukaryota; Metazoa; Nematoda; Chromadorea; Rhabditida; Rhabditidae
Source: RNAcentral
UCGGUGGUUCGAGCCCGCCCG